GGAAACGACAUUCUCAAUAGCAGUUCGCCUGCUGUUUUCCGUAAUACACGGAAGCAUGUUACCACUACUUGAUUGCCUUCCUUUUCUGAGUACUUCUGUUGUAUUAAUGGGUUUUAUCUUUGCAAAAUAAUGAUGCGGGAAAUAUAUUACGAAGUUUUCUUUCAUUUCUGCUGAUGAAAGGAGAUGACAAGCGGACAAAAGAAAGGUUUUGAACGGAUUGAAAGCAGGUGAACUGAUCUCGGAAUUGGAGAUAUGCCCACCGUCGGCGGUUGGAUUAAGCUGGGUUGCGAGCUACUUGCUGGGACCCCGUUAACAGAUACCGACCGUCCGGGCGGUGUUUCCGGAGUUAAACCGGCCGCCCUUACUAUCAUUUCCACCCAUAAUAGCGAAGUUUUAAAUCGCUGCGCUAUCAUUUGAAAGGACCAUCCCUGCCGAAACAACCGCAGAACAACCGGUCGCAGCGCGUCGUACCGCUGUCGAUCUUGCUCGGUGAAGAUGACCGUUCUCCCAGCAGCGAUCAGCACUCGCUUGAUAAAGUGACGGGACACACUGAACUUCCGCAUGAUGUGGACGCAACUGCAACCUUUGUCAAAUAGAUCCACGAUCUCCAGUUUCUCUUCCUGUGUGAGGUGUCGCGUAUUGAUACUUGUAGUUUGUUUCUCGGGCAUCUUGGGAUGUCGCAGUCCCACACUCCUGUUCGAGCCGCUUGGUUUUUCUCCUUAUAUUAGGACUACCAACUCACAAGUAUUCGUUAUGAUUUUUUUUCUUUUUCCCCAGCGUUGACUAAUAUGACUGCGCCGAUCAGAGUCUUUGCGACUACAAUACAUAAUACUAUGCUGCCGCGCAUUCCAAAGCACUUGUUUGUAAUUAGGUGUUGUCUCACGUAUGUUAUUUUAUCGCCAGCAGAUUUACAGCCUGAAAAUCGUUUAUGCGCGCAACAACGAUUCCAAACGUAU
Molecule: long non-coding RNA, 956 nt
Organism: Paramacrobiotus metropolitanus
Lineage: Eukaryota; Metazoa; Tardigrada; Eutardigrada; Parachela; Macrobiotidae
Exons: 3
Source: RefSeq, a predicted model, not a curated record